GUUUAUGGUUGUCAGGCAAUGAUGAAAGACCAGUUUGCGACCUAUGUUGUGCAGAAAGUAUUGGAGACUUGCGAUGAUCAGCAGUGUGAGCUGAUCCUCUCACUGAUAAAGGUCCACUUGAAUGCACUGAAGAAAUAUACUUAUGGAAAGCAUGUAGUCGCACAUGUAGAGAAACUUGUUGCAGCUGGAGGUAUGAUACACGAGACUUGUUAACAAUCUUAUCAAAAGAAACUGCCAUUUUUGCAAUAUACAUGAUGGUAGAUAAGCAGCAGCAUGCACUUAAUUUGCAAUGCAAUUGCUUUCAAGAACCAGAGAGGAAAGAAGAAUAGUUCAGUUUUCAUAUACAUCGUAGAAGGCAUAGGGCAGGAAGUUGUACAGCUAACAGAGGCAAGCACAGGCUUCUUUUGCAUUUAUCUAUCCAUGUAGGCAGAUAUGAGCUGGUCGGUACUAAAUUAGUUGCUUGAGUGAGAAUUGUACAUUCUCUAGUUUGAAGUUAUAGCGAAUCAUGUGAAGGCUGAGGCCCCUUGGAGAGGAGAUAAAUGUUUGCACAAGUUGUUCAGGUGUGUAAAGAAAUGAUAAAGGAAAAAAGAAGGGUAGAGUAUGGUAGCCAUGACUGCACAAAUGUUGUGAUGUGGAGUGCUCUGUCAUUUAAGUGAAACCAGUAUUUUCUUUUGUUAAGCAUGGGAUUCAUUCAUUUCUCUUGUGGUGUACGAUCUUUUAAUUCAAGCCCCUGGAAUCAUCUCCA
This is a non-coding RNA of Phoenix dactylifera (date palm), 745 nucleotides long. NCBI's taxonomy places the organism in Eukaryota, Viridiplantae, Streptophyta, Magnoliopsida, Arecales, Arecaceae. The record is from RefSeq and is a predicted model, not a curated record.